GCAUCGGUGGUUCAGUGGUAGAAUGCUCGCUUGCCACCCCGGCGGCCAGGGUUCGAUUCCCGGCCGAUGCA
This 71-nucleotide transfer RNA is filed under the name Cordylochernes scorpioides. RNAcentral describes it as "tRNA-Gly". It matches the Rfam family "tRNA". Rfam says of the family: Transfer RNA (tRNA) molecules are approximately 80 nucleotides in length. Their secondary structure includes four short double-helical elements and three loops (D, anti-codon, and T loops). Lineage: Eukaryota; Metazoa; Arthropoda; Arachnida; Pseudoscorpiones; Chernetidae. The record is from RNAcentral.